RNAcentral lists this non-coding RNA (148 nucleotides) under Pan paniscus (pygmy chimpanzee). The record is from Rfam by way of RNAcentral. Lineage: Eukaryota; Metazoa; Chordata; Mammalia; Primates; Hominidae. RNAcentral also lists the same sequence under 1 other name.
GCCAGGCGUGGUGGUGCACGCCUGUAAUCCCAGCUACUCAGGAGGCUGAGACACAAGAAUUGCUUGAACCCAGGGGGCAGAGGUUUCAGUGAGCCAAGAUCAUGCCACUGCACUUCAGCCUGGGCAACAGAGCGAGACUCUGUCUCAA